This 486-nucleotide ribosomal RNA is filed under the name uncultured Lachnospiraceae bacterium. Its description in RNAcentral is "partial 16S ribosomal RNA". Lineage: Bacteria; Bacillati; Bacillota; Clostridia; Lachnospirales; Lachnospiraceae. The record is from RNAcentral.
CACGUAGUUAGCCGGGGCUUCUUGGUCAGGUACCGUCAUUUCUUUCUUCCCUGCUGAUAGAGCUUUACAUACCGAGAUACUUCUCCACUCACGCGGCGUCGCUGGAUCAGGGUUCCCCCCAUUGUCCAAUAUUCCCCACUGCUGCCUCCCGUAGGAGUUUGGGCCGUGUCUCAGUCCCAAUGUGGCCGUCCACCCUCUCAGGCCGGCUACUGAUCGUCGCCUUGGUGGGCCCGUUACCCCGCCAACAAGCUAAUCAGACGCGGGUCCAUCAUAUACCACCGGAGUUUUUCACACUGAGCCAUGCAGCUCCGUGCGCUUAUGCGGUAUUAGCACCUAUUUCUAAGUGUUAUCCCCCUGUAUAUGGCAGGUUACCCACGCGUUACUCACCCGUCCGCCACUAGCCGCCAACAUUCCACUCUUAGCAAGCUAAUCGCUUACAAAAAUGGUACGGUCCCCGUUCGACUUCGCAUGUGUUAGCACGCCGCC